This 245-nucleotide ribosomal RNA is filed under the name uncultured bacterium. RNAcentral's name for it is "partial 16S ribosomal RNA". It matches the Rfam family "Bacterial small subunit ribosomal RNA", at positions 524 to 769 of the family's 1533-position model. The record is from RNAcentral.
UACGUAGGCAGCAAGCGUUGUUCGGAGUUACUGGGCGUAAAGGGUGUGUAGGCGGUUAGAAAAGUUAGAAGUGAAAGGCUAUAGCUUAACUAUAGUAAGCUUUUAAAACUGUUUAACUUGAGAGAUGGAAGGGAAAGUGGAAUUCCUAGUGUAGCGGUGAAAUGCGUAGAUAUCUGGAGGAACACCGGUGGCGAAGGCGGCAUCCUGGACUACUACUGACGCUGAGGAGCGAAAGCCAGGGGAGC